Molecule: small nucleolar RNA, 96 nt
Organism: Nannospalax galili (Upper Galilee mountains blind mole rat)
Lineage: Eukaryota; Metazoa; Chordata; Mammalia; Rodentia; Spalacidae
Source: RefSeq, a predicted model, not a curated record
GUUCACCAUUGAUGACCAGCACCCGGCUCUGAUCACCUUGAGGACACCCUGGACCACCCUUCCAGGACCUUUGAUAACCAGGGAAUCUGAGGGCAC